UUUAUUAUAUAUGGAGACUGUAAAAAAAGGUAACAGUUAUGCUACCUAUAUGACAAACCUAGGAGACUUUGCUGUAAGAGAAUUAAUCAUGUUUUUGUUUUCUUUUCUCAGGUCCGGUCAGUACCCACCACCCUUCCCUGUUAACAUCACCCACAGUUUAUACUUUUUCUUAGAAAACCAACAGCUCUUUUAAAAACCACUUCAAUAGACCCUUUUACAGCCCACGUGAUCAAAUAGCCUGCGUGCGCAUUUUGGCAUCGGAAGUGAUGUUAUUUCCCAGUGGUUCUAACGUGUAAGCAACUCAGAGAGUUUAUUAAAACGAUUUCCCCACAUCAAAACGUCUGGUUGCAGCAUUUGGUUGCACUAAUAUAAUAUUCGUUUAGUAUUUGGCCAUCUUCUAACGUCUUCUAUCCACUAUAGUACACGGAUCUGGUAACUGUGUAGAAGAUAAGUCAACUUUUUAAACUAACUUUCUCUGUCUGUGUUGCUUCACUGCUGAUUCUUGCCGUGCUUCCGUUGCCAAACUGCGUGCGCAUACGUUGCCACGUCAUCAUUGUGUACAAACAGUAAAAGGGUCACUCACUCACUCUUUCGCAAGCUUCUCUGUUUUCAAUAUUGUUGAAAUGGCUGCUGAGCAAGACAGAGGGAGAGCAGAGGGUGUUAUUUUCAUAGCAGACAUGCUUCUUGCUCAAAUCAAGGUGAGUAUAUUUGUUGAGAUUGUGUUCUUGCAGUAUUGUGAUAAUUCUAAAGUGUGUGAUUUAGAGUGCAAUAAUUGUGUGAACUGCUCAAGAGUUGGCUGUAUUUCAGUAUUACCAUACAAGGCACACUUUCUUUUAUGGUGGAGAAAAUGCUGAAGGACGUCCACUACCAAAAAGAAGCAGAAGUGAAGAGAUACAAAGCUUCAGCUACAGGUAUCCAUGUUUUACCAGAUUAUUUGUGAUUUGUCAGCCUCAUUUUUUCUAAGCUAUAUUACUGUGCCCAUUGUUAAUGCUUUCUCACAAAUUAUUGAACUUCUGUUUUCAGUAUGUUUAUUGCCUACAGUGAGACCUCCACAUUUCUGCACUUGUGAUCAUGCAAACAUCCAGUGUAGAGCACUUCACCUGCGUGGCAUGUACACCCAACAAUGCUCGCUCUUUGUGCAGAUGGCAACAGAAAAACCUACAGAUAAUUUUUGCUUUAUUAAAUAGUUAAUGUAUCCCAGCUGUUGUGAGCUUAUAUAAUACGUAAGGAAUAUUUGACAGUGGGCUGCUACGCAGCAGGUGUGCAUUAUUUUCAAAUAAUUUAAAGGACUGGAGUCAAUUAUUCUGCUUAUACCACAGUUACCACAAACAUUGCUUUGGGUAUUUUAAGACAUUUGACAGGUUAGGUGUGCGUUUUACAAAAAUAAUCAUUUGGAUAUGGGAAUGUGUGCUGGCACCCAAAGUGGCUAGUUUAAUAGCUUGGUCAUUCAUUAUUACAUUUCAAUUUGUCACCCUGACUUUCAACUAGUUUGUGUACCUGGAGUAGAGAAAGCAGAAGUUUAACUUUUUAAUGCUCCAUGAAUCCUGAAAAACCUUUAGUUUAAAAGUAAACCUUUAUUGUCUACAAUCAUUAUAAAGAUGCCUGUUGGUGAGAUGUAAUUUGAAACUAACAGAAAAGUAAGAAAACUUGAUAAAUAGGGCCUUGAGGUGGUUGUUUGCAGACACGGAGUGCUACUCAAAGCUCUCAAUGUGCCGGGGAGUAAUAUUUUCUUAUCCACCUAUACCUGCAGAAGGAGCUUCAAGCAGCCACAAACGGAGAGUUCUUUUGAACAGAUAUUGCUUGCAAGUAUUGGCCAUACCUUGAGAAGGCGUCAGUCUCCAUGUUGGAACUCAGACCUUUACUGCAGAUGAGACCUUUCCUUUAUGUCAUGCAUGCCAAGGCUCAUUCAACCAAGUGUCAGCCAGGAAUGACAUGCUAACUGUCCAUGCUAUUGGGUGGAACCAAUGGAAGCAAGAAUGCCUUCAGCAUUAUCCAGCAGAUACAUCAAGAAAGGCUGAGUCUCAGAGACGGGAAGAUUUGAGCAGUGAACUGGGGUGUCCUGAGAACAUUGUGAAUCAGUGGGUACAAGAUGUCAGACAAAAGGCUACUGAUGGAUUUGGUAGGUACCAGAUGUGAUGACCUACAUAACCUUCAGAAAUUAAUUGAACAAAUGUUUCUUAGUCUUCAUCGAAAAGCCAGCCUUUAUAAUCACACUGAAUCCAGCAACACCCUCACCAAGAAGAUUUUUUUGAUGUAUACAUGUCAAAAGUGCGCCUUCAAGAAGCAAAUAUCAUUGUGAUGAGGGAGAUGAGACACCACUGCACCGCACCUAUCUCAGAAGCCUGGCUAGGAACAUCAGGAAAAUGAUUUCAGGAAUGUCUUCAGGCAAAAACAGUGGCAGUUUAAGUGAAGAGUGUCAUCGCUGGCUACUGUGUCGUCUUCAGAAAAGGCUUGCAGAUGUAGAGAAGAAGUUCCAAGUUUGCUCAAGUUACAGCCAGGCUUUAGGACAGUGUUCUUCACUCCCAACCCUGAAGAGCCGGUGUCCUGCAGACUUUAGGUCCAACCUUAAUCAAACACAUCUGAAAGCUAAUCAAUGUCUUCAUGAUCUCUAGAAAAUCACAGGUAUGCGUGUUUGAUUAAGGUUGGAGCUAAGCUCCGCAGGACACCGGCUCUCCAGGAUUGGGAGUGAAGAACACUGCUUUAGGACCAAAUGCUGUUUCUCUGCUGGAGGAUGAGCCCGAGGAGAUACUGGAGGACCACGAAGAGCUGGAUUAUGAGAGUUCAGAUGACAUUUUGGAUUUGGAACUCUGAACUGGUGUAUGCAUUUAGACUGUACUGCAGGUGUGUUUCAUGGAAAACAACUAUUUGGAAACGUAAUGGAUGUCUGAUACAGUGCUUUUAUUUUAGACAACCGUUUCCUGCAGUGUGUAAGCAACAUUAGCCUCAUAGAUUGAUGGGAAACUACUGUUAAAUAAGUUUUUGUAUGAUAAUACAAUGUCCGUUUACAAGCAGCAGGUUAGCUAUUAGGUUUCCCCUCCACCUCCGAUGUUUCACAGACUACUCCUACAGUCAACUGUGUUGCUACAACUUGCAAAUGCCACAAUCCUCUUGCAGUGGUUACUUCACCAAACUGUGCCCAUAUCAUCUUGUCAACAUAAUGACAUUUACUGUAGAAAAAUGUGCAAAUCUAUUUUGCCUGUGUUACAUAUGUUACUAUUAUUGUUAUAUAGUUUUAUACUGUAUAAAGUUUUUUUCACAGUGAUUGUGGAUACUUUUGGAGUGAACUAACUGUAUGUCAUUAGAUGAAAUACUUUCAAUAGCCUACCCAUAUUUGAUGCAUGAGUUAAUACUGUUGUUACCUUUUCAAUGAAAGGAAAUGUUUUACAAUGCCAUUUUCUUGAGGUAACUAUUAAACUGUUUCAAAAUUGUUUGCUAAAGCGUUGUUUACUUUUACUUUUUACUGUUUUGAAAAUGAGAUGUAAAACUACUUUAUUUAUUUAUGCCUUAAAAAUAUAUGAUAGUUUAAUACAGGGUAAAUAAUAAAAACUUUAUAGUUAUAGUUGUUAUAAUUAAUACAAGUUUUUCAUUACACUGCUGCAUAACUUUGCUCUAGAUAAUAGUAGGGUAUUAACACUAGACAGUUCAAAGAUGAUUAACUUUUAAGUUAUGUAUACUAUAAAUACAUAUAUUUACGUAUAGUAUGUGUGAAUGCUUUUGGUCUUUGAUUAAAUGCUUGCCA
Non-coding RNA from Misgurnus anguillicaudatus (oriental weatherfish), 3739 nucleotides. The record is from RefSeq and is a predicted model, not a curated record. NCBI's taxonomy places the organism in Eukaryota, Metazoa, Chordata, Actinopteri, Cypriniformes, Cobitidae.